This 385-nucleotide ribosomal RNA is filed under the name Neohelix solemi. RNAcentral describes it as "partial large subunit ribosomal RNA". It matches the Rfam family "Archaeal large subunit ribosomal RNA", at positions 1906 to 2630 of the family's 2987-position model. The record is from RNAcentral. Lineage: Eukaryota; Metazoa; Mollusca; Gastropoda; Stylommatophora; Polygyridae.
CAUAGUCAUUGGUCUUUAUUAAUGAUGUCGUCUGCUCAAUGAGUUGAAUUAAAUAGCCGCAGUACUUUGACUGUGCAAAGGUAGCAUAAUCAAUUGGUCUCUAAUUGGGGUCUAGCAUGAAUGAAUGUAUGGGGGGUUGCUGUCUUGGGAGAUUAUUAAAAAUUACCGGGGAAGUGCAAAGGCUUCUGUAGAUGAAUUAGACGAGAAGACCCUAGAAAUUUAUGAAUUUAUUUUGUUGGGGCGACAGGGUAACAAAGAACUUACUUAUAUAUAUUAUUUGAACUUUGUAAAUAGAACAAGAAAAUUACUCUAGGGAUAACAGCAUAAUUUUGAUAAAGAUUGUGACCUCGAUGUUGGAUUAGGAACAAUGAAGGCUUAGCAAGUA